Podarcis lilfordi (Lilford's wall lizard) is the source of this 80-nucleotide non-coding RNA. Lineage: Eukaryota; Metazoa; Chordata; Lepidosauria; Squamata; Lacertidae. The record is from the annotation of a GenBank genome assembly.
ACUCUGCUGUGAUACAAUUCGGUCGGUAGAGCAUGAGACUAUUAAUCUCUAAGUUGUGGGUUCGAGCACCACGUUGGGCA